Long non-coding RNA from Bombyx mori (domestic silkworm), 1220 nucleotides. RefSeq lists it as uncharacterized. The record is from RefSeq and is a predicted model, not a curated record. NCBI's taxonomy places the organism in Eukaryota, Metazoa, Arthropoda, Insecta, Lepidoptera, Bombycidae. The transcript has 2 exons.
UUACACGCUUCGAAAAAUAACCUUCGCAUCGUUAAUCUACUGAACAAUUACACGCGCUCAAUGGAAGAUUCUCCCUCUGCCGUAAAACUCCCAACGAUUAUUCAAUUGAAGAAGUUUCACAGCUUGUAUUAAAAAUAUUAAGACGAUAAUGAUUCAACGGAAGUUGUGAAUAAUUACGCAGCCUUCAAUUUAUAAUGUGAAGAUACUAUGGUAAAGUAAUUUUUGUUAUUUAACUCCGAUGAAGGAAGUUAUGAGACUUUUUUGCGGCUUAAGUUCUGAAAUGUUUGUGCUCGAAGUGGUUUGUAAACAAAAAAAUAUAUUACGUAAUCGAAGGCUCAGGAUAGUUUACAAGAAAACCCUUGGACAAAUAUGAAAUAUGUUUGUAUCUGUGAUGCAAAAUGGUAGGUUUUUAAUAUGGCGGAAUUAAAUUUCUGACGUAAAAUAAUGAUAGAUAUUUAUAAGUAAAAUUUGUCUUUGGUAACUCUUUUAUUUGCUCUCUAUGAGUGUAAAAGAUCAUGGACCACACGCUGAUAAGUGUUCCGGGGAAAGAAAUGAAACAACGGCCUCUUUCGCGACAGAAAUAGGCAAAAUUGUGAUGGUACCUACCCGUACGGAAUGACAAUACCACCAGUAACCAAGUCUCUUAAUUAACCUAUAGGUCGGACUAGCAUACACGAAUAACGAUUAUAUGUGCAUAGUAUUAAAAUAAAUUAAGGAUUGAGAAUACAUAGUAUCAGUAGGUUUAACCACAGUCUAUUGCUAAAUCUUUAAAAGCACACUGCUUAAUUUUUUUUUUUUGUGGCGUUGGGCGCAUUGCUAUUAGUAAAAACUUCGAUCAACAAUAGUAACUAGAUUUCGGGUCGGCGCAAAAAUCCGUCUCGUUAAAUAACAGCGCACUUGAAAUGUGAGCUCUUAUUUUGUUUAGUUCACUCCAGACACAGCCAAUGUCAACCCGUCUCACAAUGCCGCAGUGUGUAUUCGAAAAUUGCAAAAAAUGCCCGAAAAAGCAAUUUAACGGCCGGAGUAUCUUACUUUCGCUUUCCUAGCAAUCACGUGUGCAGAAUGGAUCUCGAUUGUCGCCAGAGAAAGAAGAGAUUACUUUUAUAAGCCAGCUAAGAACUCCACUCAUUGACACUGGACAUCUUUGCCUUCCGUGUUCACGGCUACUGAAACGUGGCCGAAGCAUUGUAAUAAAAAUAUCGCGCUUAAAACCGUUUAAA